GCAUUCGUGGUGUAACGGUAGCACAAUCGGCGCGUAUUCGAGAAGUCCAGGUUCGAAUCCCGGUGAGGGCA
Molecule: transfer RNA, 71 nt
Filed under: Stegodyphus mimosarum
Lineage: Eukaryota; Metazoa; Arthropoda; Arachnida; Araneae; Eresidae
Rfam family: tRNA
About the family: Transfer RNA (tRNA) molecules are approximately 80 nucleotides in length. Their secondary structure includes four short double-helical elements and three loops (D, anti-codon, and T loops).
Source: Rfam by way of RNAcentral